RNAcentral lists this long non-coding RNA (301 nucleotides) under Physcomitrium patens. RNAcentral describes it as "long non-coding RNA (PPAT_LNC003445)". The record is from RNAcentral. Lineage: Eukaryota; Viridiplantae; Streptophyta; Bryopsida; Funariales; Funariaceae.
AGCAAGAAGGUCUUAGCUUGACCACAAGAAGUGAGUUGUUGAGACUGAGGAUCCCCUCAGCUACGACUCCUAUAUAUGUUAGUUCCUAAGAAGCUUCUUGAGAAGUUUCUAUGAGGCUUGGAAUCAAAACAAGCUUGAGAUCCUUCUUUGGCAACUUCUUAAAUCAUCUAAUACUUUCUAGAAUCUUCUAAGAUUUCUUAUGAUCUUCUAAAACUUUCUUAGAAUCUAUUGGAACCUUUUAGAAUCUUUAAGAAUCUUUUAAGAUCUACAAGAACCUCCUUAGAACCUUUUAUAAUUUUCU